AUUAUCGUGUCAGCCAGCGUCAGUCAGUGCAUAGAUAAGUUAGUGUUAGUUCAUAGAGUUUGUUGUUGAUAAGAUUUUAUUUUAAAAAUAACUAUUAUGAAAAUAACGCCACUCGCCAUUUUAACACUGUCGAGAGUUGUUUUUCGGUGCUUUCAGUGCGCUUUUUCAUUCCAGUUGAUGUUUAUGUGAUAGUGAACACUUUGGAUGUCGUGUUUUAGUCUUAUUAUACUUGAUACCAGUACAUGGUGAUAACUGAAGGAAGCAAAAAGGUGCCUUUUUUCGACUAAAAACAAAGGCAGUAUGUUGUAAUUAGUAAAAAAAGGAUUUAUGAUGAUUGUUUGAUUGGACAACAAAUUAGAGAGAGGCUGAUCAUACUGAAACAACCAAUGUCUACAAUAGAAUCAUAUCUAAAUUCCACUGAAACAAGAAGUUGUCUGCUAUUGUAUUCCUCCUGGAUUUGGUUUCCUUUUUACAUUUACCAACUUUGGAAUGUUACAGUCUGUUGUUCAUUAAGUUGAGAAUGUUUGAUAUAAUUAAAAUCAAUUGCUCUUUAUUAAUCUGUUACCACUGUAUCUGUUUCAGAUCAACAUUGGAGAAGAUAGAAGAUCCCAUAGUUAAAAUAUUUCUCUAUUUUGUGUUUUUUUGUAGUGUAUUUUAUUUGAAUUAAUUUUAGUUUGUAUAGGUUAUUAUUUUUUUUGUAGUAGUGUACUAACAUAUUUUUCUUGUAGUAGUUAAAUAGUAGUCUAACAUGUCUCUUGCUUGCCUCUUCGCUUAGCUUACUGCAUAUUCUUCCUAUUUUGCUUUGCAUUUAC
This 812-nucleotide long non-coding RNA is filed under the name Agrilus planipennis (emerald ash borer). RNAcentral describes it as "uncharacterized LOC108745148". Lineage: Eukaryota; Metazoa; Arthropoda; Insecta; Coleoptera; Buprestidae. The record is from RNAcentral.